UACGAAGGGGGCUAGCGUUGCUCGGAAUCACUGGGCGUAAAGCGCACGUAGGCGGGUCGUUAAGUCGGGGGUGAAAUCCUGGAGCUCAACUCCAGAACUGCCUUCGAUACUGGCGAUCUUGAGUCUGGGAGAGGUGAGUGGAACUCCGAGUGUAGAGGUGAAAUUCGUAGAUACUCGGAAGAACACCAGUGGCGAAGGCGGCUCACUGGCCCGGUACUGACGCUGAGGUGCGAAAGCGUGGGGAGCAAACAGG
Molecule: ribosomal RNA, 253 nt
Filed under: uncultured bacterium
Lineage: Bacteria
Description: partial 16S ribosomal RNA
Rfam family: Bacterial small subunit ribosomal RNA
Source: RNAcentral